RNAcentral lists this ribosomal RNA (441 nucleotides) under Salmonella enterica subsp. arizonae. RNAcentral's name for it is "partial 23S ribosomal RNA". It matches the Rfam family "Bacterial large subunit ribosomal RNA", at positions 751 to 1190 of the family's 2925-position model. The record is from RNAcentral. Lineage: Bacteria; Pseudomonadati; Pseudomonadota; Gammaproteobacteria; Enterobacterales; Enterobacteriaceae.
GUUGGGUAACACUAACUGGAGGACCGAACCGACUAAUGUUGAAAAAUUAGCGGAUGACCUGUGGCUGGGGGUGAAAGGCCAAUCAAACCGGGAGAUAGCUGGUUCUCCCCGAAAGCUAUUUAGGUAGCGCCUCGUGAAUUCAUCUCCGGGGGUAGAGCACUGUUUCGGCCAGGGGGCCAUCCCGGCUUACCAACCCGAUGCAAACUGCGAAUACCGGAGAAUGUUAUCACGGGAGACACACGGCGGGUGCUAACGUCCGUCGUGAAGAGGGAAACAACCCAGACCGCCAGCUAAGGUCCCAAAGUCAUGGUUAAGUGGGAAACGAUGUGGGAAGGCCCAGACAGCCAGGAUGUUGGCUUAGAAGCAGCCAUCAUUUAAAGAAAGCGUAAUAGCUCACUGGUCGAGUCGGCCUGCGCGGAAGAUGUAACGGGGCUAAACCAU